GGCCGCGGUAUCCUAACCGUGCAAAGGUAGCAUAAUCACUUGUCCCCUAAAUAGGGACUAGAAUGAACGGUUAAAUGAGGGCAUCACUGUCUCUUACAUUCGACCAAUAAACCUGAUCUUUCAGUCCAAAAGCUGGAAUAAACUCAUAAGACGAGAAGACCCUGUGGAGCUUCUAAACCAAGUCCACACCGCCUUCAUGCCACCUUGGUUUUUAGUUGGGGCGACUUCGGAGCACAAACAACCCUCCAACUACGGAACCUCCCUUCUAGAUCUACACAUCAAAAAACACCCCGCCGACCCAGUAGCUUUAACUAAGCUAUCUGAUCAACGAACCAAGUUACCCCAGGGAUAACAGCGCCAUCCUCUUCUAGAGUCCCUAUCGACAAGAGGGUUUACGACCUCGAUGUUGGAUCAGGACACCCCUAUAGUGCAGCCGCUAUAAAAGGU
Molecule: ribosomal RNA, 447 nt
Filed under: Meroles micropholidotus
Lineage: Eukaryota; Metazoa; Chordata; Lepidosauria; Squamata; Lacertidae
Description: partial 16S ribosomal RNA
Rfam family: Archaeal large subunit ribosomal RNA
Source: RNAcentral